GCAGUGCUGGUUCAGCGGUAGAAUUCUUGCCUCCCACACAGGAAACCUGGGUUAGAUUUCCAGUCAAUACA
This 71-nucleotide transfer RNA is filed under the name Loxodonta africana (African savanna elephant). It matches the Rfam family "tRNA". Rfam says of the family: Transfer RNA (tRNA) molecules are approximately 80 nucleotides in length. The record is from Rfam by way of RNAcentral. Lineage: Eukaryota; Metazoa; Chordata; Mammalia; Proboscidea; Elephantidae.